Long non-coding RNA from Micropterus salmoides (largemouth bass), 127 nucleotides. RefSeq lists it as uncharacterized. The transcript is spliced from 2 exons. The record is from RefSeq and is a predicted model, not a curated record. NCBI's taxonomy places the organism in Eukaryota, Metazoa, Chordata, Actinopteri, Centrarchiformes, Centrarchidae.
CCUGAAUGAUCCAGCUUCCAAUAUGCCACGUGUUGAGUUAAUGACGAAAAACUAUAAUGACAAAGAUGGAUAUUGGAAUGUUCUGAUGAGUACUGCUGGAGCUCAAUACAGUUGAAGGAAGAAAUUA